CCCGGAUCCUUCAAGCCCUCUGGGGACUGGGUUCUUUUUUUUUUUUAAGAUUUUAUUUAUUUUUUUGACAGAGAGAUCACAAGUAGGCAGAGAGGUAGGCCGAGGGAGAGGGGGAAGCAGGCCUCCUGCUUAGCAGAGAGCCCGAUGUGGGACUCAGUCCCAGGACCCUGAGAUCAUGACCCAAGGCAGAGGGUUAACCCACUGAGCCCCCCAGGCACCCCGGGUUCAUUUUUAAUACAAACUCCCCCCUCUCUUCUCAGGCUCCUCCUAAUGCACUGCCUUGGAGGACACAUAUCUGAUUAAUUUCAAGAAUGUUUCAAUGAACCUGUUAUCCCUCCAUUUCUCUUGCUGGUUGGCACAGUAUAGGAGAAGUAAUGGGAUCUCCAGAUUGAGAGAGAAUCUUGAAGAAUGGCUGAGCCCCUGCUGCUUCCGGCACGGCUAAUGCCCCAGCCACAGGUUCUUCCCUUCCAUGCUUGCCGGGAGUUUGUACUCUUGGAGCCACCACAUUUCCAGCAGAAGUAAAAUUAACUGCAAGGUCUGGUUGUUACCCCUGAGGAUUCGGAGUUCACAGGUCCCGAAACAGUGUGUGGGAUGCAGCAGGCAUCAGGAACCACUGGUUGAAUGAGCCAAUGAGUUGGCGAAGGAAAAAGUCUUGCUCCGUAAGUUGAGCUGGGUAUUCGCCAGUGAAUCACAGUUCUGGGGUGGUGAGGAUGAAA
RNAcentral lists this long non-coding RNA (716 nucleotides) under Mustela putorius furo (domestic ferret). RNAcentral describes it as "lncRNA (ENSMPUG00000024086.1)". Lineage: Eukaryota; Metazoa; Chordata; Mammalia; Carnivora; Mustelidae. The record is from RNAcentral.